This 468-nucleotide ribosomal RNA is filed under the name uncultured bacterium. RNAcentral's name for it is "partial 16S ribosomal RNA". It matches the Rfam family "Bacterial small subunit ribosomal RNA", at positions 28 to 507 of the family's 1533-position model. The record is from RNAcentral.
GACGAACGCUGGCGGCGUGCUUAACACAUGCAAGUCGAACGGAAAGGCCCUGCUUUUGUGGGGUGCUCGAGUGGCGAACGGGUGAGUAACACGUGAGUAACCUGCCCUUGACUUUGGGAUAACUUCAGGAAACUGGGGCUAAUACCGGAUAGGAGCUCCUGCUGCAUGGUGGGGGUUGGAAAGUUUCGGCGGUUGGGGAUGGACUCGCGGCUUAUCAGCUUGUUGGUGGGGUAGUGGCUUACCAAGGCUUUGACGGGUAGCCGGCCUGAGAGGGUGACCGGCCACAUGGGGACUGAGAUACGGCCCAGACUCCUACGGGAGGCAACAGUGGGGAAUAUUGCACAAUGGGCGGAAGCCUGAUGCAGCAACGCCGCGUGCGGGAUGACGGCCUUCGGGUUGUAAACCGCUUUCGCCUGUGACGAAGCGUGAGUGACGGUAAUGGGUAAAGAAGCACCGGCUAACUACGUG